RNAcentral lists this ribosomal RNA (1906 nucleotides) under human gut metagenome. Its description in RNAcentral is "bacterial LSU rRNA". It matches the Rfam family "Bacterial large subunit ribosomal RNA", at positions 467 to 2461 of the family's 2925-position model. The record is from RNAcentral.
UAAAUACUACCUGAUGACCGAUAGAGGAGCAGUACCGUGAGGGAAAGGUGAAAAGAACCCCGGGAGGGGAGUGAAAUAGUACCUGAAACCUUGUGCUUACAAGCAGUCAGAGCACGUUAAAGUGUGAUGGCGUACCUUUUGUAGAAUGGUCCGGCGAGUUAUAGUCACUGGCGAGGUUAAGUUAUUCAGUAACGGAGCCGAAGGGAAACCGAGUCUUAAUAGGGCGUCGAGUCAGUGGCCAUAGACCUGAAACCGGGUGACCUAUCCAUGAGCAGGCUGAAGGUGAGGUAAAACUCACUGGAGGGCCGAACCCACGUUCGUUGCAAUGACCGGGGAUGACUUGUGGAUAGCGGAGAAAUUCCAAUCGAACUCGGAGAUAGCUGGUUCUCCCCGAAAUAGCUUUAGGGCUAGCGUUGUGUUAGUUUACCGGAGGUAGAGCACUGAAUUGGCUAAGGGGCGAUGAGCUUACUGAACCUUAUCAAACUUCGAAUGCCGGAUAAAUGGUGCACAGCAGUCAGACAGUGUGAGAUAAGUUUCAUUGUCAAGAGGGAAACAGCCCAGACCCACAGCUAAGGUCCCAAAUGAACGCUAAGUGGAAAACGAUGUGGGGUUGCAAAAACAACCAGGAUGUUGGCUUAGAGGCAGCCACUCAUUAAAAGAGUGCGUAAUAGCUCACUGGUCGAGUGACCCUGCGCGGAAAAUAUAACGGGGCUAAGCGUCCAACCGAAGCUUGGGAUGUCUAAGGACAUGGUAGGGGAGCGUCGUGUAUAGGGAGAAGCAUGAGCGAGAGCACAUGUGGACAGUACACGAGUGAGAAUGCCGGAAUGAGUAGCGAGAAUUAUGUGGGAAUCAUAAUGGCCGAAAAUCUAAGGUUUCUUGGGGAAGGUUCGUCCGCCCAAGGUAAGCCGGGAGCUAAGGCGAGGCCGAAAGGCGUAGUCGAUGCACAUACGGUUGAAAUUCCGUAGCCACCUUAUCGUUAAAAGCUGACACAUAGAGAUAGCCGAACCCGGGCGUUGGUUGACCCGGGCGAAAGGGACCGAACUACAGUAGGGAAGUCGGCGAUGCUCUGUGGCGAGAAAAGGCGAAGAUAGGGUGCCCGUACCGCAAACCGACACAGGUAGAUGAGGAGAGAAUCCUAAGGCCAACGGGAGAAGGGUUGUUAAGGAACUCGGCAAAUUGACCCCGUAACUUCGGGAGAAGGGGAGCCUCCUACGGUAGGCCGCAGAGAAUAGGCCCAAGCGACUGUUUACCAAAAACACAGGUCUCUGCUAAAUCGAAAGAUGACGUAUAGGGGCUGACGCCUGCCCGGUGCUGGAAGGUUAAGAGGAGGACUUAGCGCAAGCGAAGGUCUGAAUUUAAGCCCCAGUAAACGGCGGCCGUAACUAUAACGGUCCUAAGGUAGCGAAAUUCCUUGUCAGGUAAGUUCUGACCCGCACGAAUGGCGUAACGAUUUGGGCGCUGUCUCAACAGCCUACCCGGCGAAAUUGUAGUACCGGUGAAGAUGCCGGUUACCCGCAACUAGACGGAAAGACCCCAUGGAGCUUUACUGCAGCUUAAUACUGAGAUUCGGUAAUUCAUGUACAGGAUAGGUGGGAGACUUAGAAACAGGGUCGUCAGGCACUGCGGAGUCACCCUUGGGAUACCACCCUUGGAUUGCUGGGUUUCUAACCUGCGGCCAUGAAUCUGGUCGGGGGACACUGUUAGGCGGGCAGUUUGACUGGGGCGGUCGCCUCCUAAAAAGUAGCGGAGGCGCUCAAAGCUUGGCUCAGCAUGGAUGGAAAUCAUGCAAUGAGUGUAAACGUAUAAGCCAAGUUGACUGCGAGACCGACGGGUCGAGCAGGUACGAAAGUAGGAGUUAGUGAUCCGGUGGUAUGUGAGUGGAAAUGCCAUCGCUCAACGGAUAAAA